RNAcentral lists this ribosomal RNA (559 nucleotides) under Colletotrichum truncatum. Its description in RNAcentral is "eukaryotic LSU rRNA". The stretch from base 238 to 391 matches the Rfam family "5.8S ribosomal RNA". Lineage: Eukaryota; Fungi; Ascomycota; Sordariomycetes; Glomerellales; Glomerellaceae. The record is from RNAcentral.
UGGAAAGUUAAAAAAUCGUAACAAGAUCUCCGUUUGGUGAACCAGCGGAGGGAUCAUUACUGAGUUACCGCUCAUCAACCCUUUGUGAACAUACCUUAACUGUUGCUUCGGCGGGUAGGCGUCCCCUAAAAAGGACGUCUCCCGGCCCUCUCCCGUCCGCGGGUGGGGCGCCCGCCGGAGGAUAACCAAACUCUGAUUUAACGACGUUUCUUCUGAGUGACACAAGCAAAUAAUCAAAACUUUUAACAACGGAUCUCUUGGUUCUGGCAUCGAUGAAGAACGCAGCGAAAUGCGAUAAGUAAUGUGAAUUGCAGAAUUCAGUGAAUCAUCGAAUCUUUGAACGCACAUUGCGCCCGCCAGCAUUCUGGCGGGCAUGCCUGUUCGAGCGUCAUUUCAACCCUCAAGCUCUGCUUGGUGUUGGGGCUCUACGGUUGACGUAGGCCCUUAAAGGUAGUGGCGGACCCUCUCGGAGCCUCCUUUGCGUAGUAACAUUUCGUCUCGCAUUGGGAUUCGGAGGGACUCUAGCCGUAAAACCCCCAAUUUUACUAAGGUUGACCUC